This is a long non-coding RNA of Olea europaea var. sylvestris, 209 nucleotides long. RefSeq lists it as uncharacterized. Lineage: Eukaryota; Viridiplantae; Streptophyta; Magnoliopsida; Lamiales; Oleaceae. The record is from RefSeq and is a predicted model, not a curated record. The transcript is spliced from 3 exons.
CCACCUUCUUCCCAGGGUGCCAACCCCCCAAACAUCGAACCAGAAGAGGCUCCCAUGGAUUUGCCCAUUGUGACAGAGUCUUCUCGCCCAAAUAAGGGGAAGUCUCCAUAGGUGGUGGAGCCAACUGGUGAUAUGUCACUUCCCAAGAUUGCUGAUAAGGGUGCUGAUGAUAUUGUGCGUUCCAUCCAGGACUUGUUCACUUCCUGGGG